Molecule: non-coding RNA, 1106 nt
Organism: Benincasa hispida (wax gourd)
Lineage: Eukaryota; Viridiplantae; Streptophyta; Magnoliopsida; Cucurbitales; Cucurbitaceae
Source: RefSeq, a predicted model, not a curated record
CCCCCAAUGGGUUGUGAUAAUUAUAACAUAGGUCGGAGCCCAAUUUAACGGCAGCCGACGCGUCGUUAGUACAAUACAACCUUCCCUCCCACUUCACCGCAGCCAAUCUUGAAGAAAUUCCGACAAACUCCCGACGACUACGGCUAUCAUCGCUCUGUUAUUUUACCACUCUGCUCUCUAUUAAGGUGGUGUUGUUUCUUUCGUUUCUGAAUUAUCUUUAACAUCCGAUGCAGAUUACAGAAACAUGGCUUUGCUUGCUUCGAAUUUGUUCCAACCGAUUGAAUUCUUUUCGCUUUUGGACGACUUGGGCGUUUUGUUUCUUAUCUGUACCAAUAAUGUGCUAUAUGAGCUUGAUCGGAAGUUGUAGCCAUGACUCCUGAAUACUAAUGUUGUUUUCACUUUUCUUCGAGCUAAUUAGGUUAUAUGGUUAUUUUCUGUGUUUGUUCUUGUUCUGUGCUUCCGCACUUCUUGUAAUUAGGGAAAAACUUCAUUCUGAAGUCUAAUAUUUUUGCAUAGCAUUGCACGCACCUUGACCAUUAUCACAGUACAAUUGUUUCACAGUAGUGAAAUUUGGUGCUGCUUCCAGUCAAAUUUCAGGAUACGCUUGAAUGGAAGCUAAAGUCUCAGAUGAUCUUCAGAUUAUUGGUACAGUUUUAGAGGACCAAGAUUACUUGGAGAAGAUAACCACGUUACAGGGUUACCUCGAUGAGGUGAAGAAGAUUGUGAGCGAAAGCUGUUCCCAAGAGGUUUUAGAAGUGGCGUUGAGCUCCAUCUCCUCCCUAAUUACCGUCCUCUCCUCCAUGUCAUCGUCUACCAAACUCCAUUCUUCACUUUGAUUUUGGAAUAUCUUCAACCCACCUUCUUCUUCCCUUCUAUUUCCUAUCAAAUGCUUGUAGAUGGGGUGACCUUCAAAACAUGUAUAAUGUGAAUAUUUACUGGUGUAAAUAAUAAGACAUGUUGUAUUCUUGUUUGUUUCUCUUUGCUCAUCUGUGUUCUGUUAAUAGCAGAGAAAAGCUUACGAGCAUAAAGAUGUAGAAUUUUCGGAAAUUCAGAUGGAUUUUGUAAUAUUUUUCUGUCUAUGUAAAUUCGUUGAGAUAAAUUGUAAA